UGGCGGACGGGUGAGUAACGCGUGAGUAACCUGCCCUCAGGAGGGGAAUAACGUCUGGAAACGGACGCUAAUACCGCAUGACAUAGCGGAGGGGCAUCCCUCUGUUAUCAAAGAUUUAUCGCCUGAGGAUGGACUCGCGUCCGAUUAGAUAGUUGGUGGGGUAACGGCUCACCAAGUCGACGAUCGGUAGCCGGACUGAGAGGUUGAACGGCCACAUUGGGACUGAGACACGGCCCAA
Molecule: ribosomal RNA, 238 nt
Filed under: uncultured bacterium
Lineage: Bacteria
Description: partial 16S ribosomal RNA
Rfam family: Bacterial small subunit ribosomal RNA
Source: RNAcentral